GGCACCUGCUGCUGGCCCUGGUUUCCUGAUGGGUCAAAUGCAGGCUCUUCUCCAGGAAAGGUGCUCAGAGGGAUGGGCCCUCAGGAUGAAGCGUGGAAAGGGAGAAUUACCCCUGAUGCGGACCUGAGUUUUACUCUUUCUGAGAGGUCAAUGUCAUCUCAGAUAUACAGAAAAAGGAGAAUACAAAGCAGGUCCUUCUUGAUCAUCUUUGUAACCAGAUCUUACAGGAAACAGCAGAAGGAGCUCUGGCUGGUGGUCAGGCAUCACUCCCACCUUGGCCUGGUGUUUUCAGGCCAGUUGGAUGUGGUGGAAAUUGCAUGAAGAGGAAUUGAGUAGGUCUGGAUCGUCAAUAACUUGGUAUGUAAUCCUGGGCGAAUCCCUUUUCCUUGAGAUCACUCUCUCAUCUGGAAUACAUCAGUGGUUUUCAAAUUGUGCUCCAGCAGAACACGGCUGAUCCAGAAGCUAGACCAAGGAACACUGGUGGUCUCUAUACAAUUCACAGAAAACUGAAGUGGAAUAAAAUGUCCCCCCUUUGCUGUCGCUUAGUUAUUUCUAUUUAUUAUAACAUUUCCUGCACUGAAUAGAUUUUUCUGAGCAUACACAACUGUUUCUUCAAUUUGAGAUACCAAUAAACAGC
This 637-nucleotide long non-coding RNA is filed under the name Equus caballus (horse). RNAcentral describes it as "lncRNA (ENSECAG00000039070.3)". The record is from RNAcentral. Lineage: Eukaryota; Metazoa; Chordata; Mammalia; Perissodactyla; Equidae.